Erinaceus europaeus (western European hedgehog) is the source of this 432-nucleotide RNA transcript. It is a transcript of the gene named protein PET117 homolog, mitochondrial, with no coding region annotated. The transcript is spliced from 4 exons. Lineage: Eukaryota; Metazoa; Chordata; Mammalia; Eulipotyphla; Erinaceidae. The record is from RefSeq and is a predicted model, not a curated record.
CUGGGGUCCUCGGGUGGGCGGAGGCGGCGACAGACGCGGGGAUGUCUAGGGGCUCGAAGGUGGUGCUGGGCCUCUCGGUGCUGCUGACGGCGGCGACCGUGGCCGGCGUGCAUGUGAAGCAGCGGCUGGACCUGCAGACUUAUUAAAUCAGAAUACCUUGGAGAUGUGAAAAGCCACCCAGAGGAUUCUAACAUGCACUCAAGAGUUGAAAAUCAUAGUGAUAAAAGAAUGGAGAAACAAAGAGGGUUAUUGCUGGGGCUCCGAGCUUGCACUAUGAAUCCACUGCUCUUGAAGAGGCUUCAUGACGGAGUAAUCAGAGACAUUGAGAGACAGAACCGGAAAAAAGAAAACAUUCGUCUUUUGGGAGAACAGAUUAUUUUGACUGAGCAACUUGAAGCGGAAAGAGAGAUGUCUUUGGCAAAAGGAUCUCAA